GAGGUAGAAGAAGAGCAUGCAGCCCUGCUUACUUUGAAUUUUUUUUUGCCAAACUAAAAGAAGAAAAUCUCUGAAGAAGCUGAAGUGAGUGGCCUUGAAAGGAUCAAAAUUGGAUUUGGAGCAUUACCACACCCUGCAAAUCUUGACCUUAGCAGUCUCUGAAGACUUUUCACAGUGUUCUUUCACUUCCUACAUUCCUACACUGGAGUGCAAGGUGCUGUUAGAGAAGUGAAUACUGUGAAUGUUCUGUUACUGUACGUAUGUGACAUUUAGACCAAAACUUACAAAAGUGCCCUGGGUUCGGCUGUAACAGAAGCAGAGACCACGUUCUUUGUAGUAAGCUUUGGUACAUUUCAUUUGUUGUGCACCCAUCUAAUAAAGCCCUGUAGUCUGA
This is a non-coding RNA of Cyanistes caeruleus (blue tit), 394 nucleotides long. NCBI's taxonomy places the organism in Eukaryota, Metazoa, Chordata, Aves, Passeriformes, Paridae. The record is from RefSeq and is a predicted model, not a curated record.